AACGAACGCUGGCGGCAGGCUUAACACAUGCAAGUCGAGCGCCCCGCAAGGGGAGCGGCAGACGGGUGAGUAACGCGUGGGAACAUACCCUUUGGUUCGGAAUAACUCAGGGAAACUUGAGCUAAUACCGGAUACGUCCGUAAGGAGAAAGAUUUAUCGCCAAAGGAUUGGCCCGCGUCCGAUUAGCUAGUUGGUGAGGUAACGGCUCACCAAGGCUACGAUCGGUAGCUGGUCUGAGAGGAUGAUCAGCCACAUUGGGACUGAGACACGGCCCAAACUCCUACGGGAGGCAGCAGUGGGGAAUAUUGGACAAUAGGGCGCAAGCCUGAUCCAGCCAUGCCGCGUGAGUGAUGAAGGCCUAGGGUUGUAAAGCUCUUUUGCCGGGGACGAUAAUGACGGUACCCGGAGAAUAAGUCCCGGCUAACUUCGUGCCAGCAGCCGCG
Molecule: ribosomal RNA, 443 nt
Filed under: uncultured bacterium
Lineage: Bacteria
Description: bacterial SSU rRNA
Rfam family: Bacterial small subunit ribosomal RNA
Source: RNAcentral